UCCCUUUCUUCGCCUCCCAGCCUUUGUGCCUCGCCUGACUCCCUUCAAUAAAGAUCUCCUGCCGGACCUCUCAGUGUGUCCUCAGCUCAGCUCAGGACUUUAUGAGGAGAGUAAAAGCCCUCAUUGAGAUCCACUGAGCAGCCAGCACCAGGAGUGCCAUGGAGCUUGGUCUGCGAACACACCCAGGUGAGUGCAGCCAGGAGACAGGACGGGCCCUGGGUGUGGACACACAGCAUGGUGCCAGCUGCCCCAGCUACCCCAGCCAAGGCCACUGCAGACAGCUAGCCCUGUCCAGGGAAGUCUGGAGAGUCCAUGGCCAGCCCAGCAAGGGAGUGGAGCACUGGCCUGGAGGUAAAAAUCACUCGGUUUGGGGUGGUGUCUUUCACAACACUGCUGAGAUAAUAAAUAACUGGUAGGUGCACUUAAGAGCAUAAAAUCAUCAGGAACCCAAAGCAAGGCAGAGGAGUCAUCCAGAAAUGCGUCAUUACAGUGACUUUGCAGCCCAGAGCCUUGAGCUCCACAGUGUGCAGGAUGCAGGUGUCAGCAUCCACACCGCUGUGGGAGCCGGAGGGCAGGCAGACUGGCACCCACAAUGCUCCACAUCCGGGUCAGAGUCCUGACACACCUUGGUCCAGGUUCUGCCUCCAUAGACCUGCAGCUGAGAAUAGGCUGCGGUCUGCCAGAAUAACAG
Molecule: long non-coding RNA, 691 nt
Filed under: Fukomys damarensis (Damara mole-rat)
Lineage: Eukaryota; Metazoa; Chordata; Mammalia; Rodentia; Bathyergidae
Description: lncRNA (ENSFDAG00000030941.1)
Source: RNAcentral